CGCCGCUGACAGGCAGCCUCGGCGGGGAGCGUGCCGGUACUUUGCCUUCAGAAUAAUUUGCAGGACCCACGCUAGCUUUCGGAGCGCCCUUGUUUUCUUCGGCCGUUGCCCCUCCCCACGGAAAAGAAGGUCCCACUUUUGAAACAGACCGCACCCGAAGCACCCUCCCCACGCCGAAGCCCGACGGGCGGCUGUGCGCGUGCUGUCCUUUCUCGCAGUCCAUUCCGGGCCUGUGUGGAAUAGAAAGGCAGUUCUUUAUUUGGCUGGUGGGAAGACAAGCGGAGACCCCUCGGGGUUCCCAAGGAGGACUGGAGCGGCUGCUGUAGUGACGAAAUGGAGAAUCAAAGAAGUAAAGGACCUGCCUCAAAGUCACUCUACUAGGAAAUCCUGAGGGGUUUGACACUUUUCAUCCUCCAGCCAUUAAUCAUCCUGUAAGGAAAGGCUAUCCAUUGGUAGGAAUAAAAAGCCAGCAGUUCCUGGCCAGUGAUACUCCAGUUCAAGAUGUCUGACUGACACGUGUCGGCACCAGCAUCGAAGGAAGGAAGUGACGGACGGGCUCUGGCUCCAGGUUCCUGUCCUGAGACCACAGCAGUAUGUGCCUUGGACGAAGGCUUGGACUCCUGGAUCAUCUGGUGACUUCACAUAUCUGGUCUCAGGGUGGUGAACUUUUUCUCUGAAUUCCUAACCUGUGAGCUUAUGAUGAUGGUGCCUGUCAAUUAACUGAACAACACUGGAACAUGCUUGUUUGUGGCUCCUUUUGUGGACUUCUAUUGGGUAACAUUCUACGUUGGGGAGUGAAAUUGUGGAAAGUAAUAUUAAUGAUCAUAAUGAAAUAUCUGCUGCAAUAGUAUGCUUUCAAAAGGGAAAAAGAAAGAGAGAAAAAAGAAAG
Suricata suricatta (meerkat) is the source of this 889-nucleotide long non-coding RNA. RefSeq lists it as uncharacterized. The transcript has 9 exons. The record is from RefSeq and is a predicted model, not a curated record. NCBI's taxonomy places the organism in Eukaryota, Metazoa, Chordata, Mammalia, Carnivora, Herpestidae.